RNAcentral lists this ribosomal RNA (252 nucleotides) under uncultured bacterium. RNAcentral describes it as "partial 16S ribosomal RNA". It matches the Rfam family "Bacterial small subunit ribosomal RNA", at positions 525 to 776 of the family's 1533-position model. The record is from RNAcentral.
ACCGAGGGUGCGAGCGUUAAUCGGAAUUACUGGGCGUAAAGGGCACGCAGGCGGCUUUGCAAGUCGGAUGUGAAAUCCCCGGGCUCAACCUGGGAACUGCAUUCGAAACUGCUCGGCUAGAGUAUGGGAGAGGGAAGUGGAAUUUCCGGUGUAGCGGUGAAAUGCGUAGAUAUCGGAAGGAACAUCAGUGGCGAAGGCGACUUCCUGGACCAAUACUGACGCUCAGGUGCGAAAGCGUGGGGAGCAAACAGG